RNAcentral lists this ribosomal RNA (41 nucleotides) under Ganoderma sp. CAW-39. RNAcentral describes it as "partial 18S ribosomal RNA". The record is from RNAcentral. Lineage: Eukaryota; Fungi; Basidiomycota; Agaricomycetes; Polyporales; Polyporaceae.
UUUCUUCCGUAGGUGAACCUGCGGAAGGAUCAUUAUCGAGU